Molecule: ribosomal RNA, 490 nt
Filed under: uncultured bacterium
Lineage: Bacteria
Description: bacterial SSU rRNA
Rfam family: Bacterial small subunit ribosomal RNA
Source: RNAcentral
GAUGAACGCUAGCUACAGGCCUAACACAUGCAAGUCGAGGGGAAACGGCAGCUUAGCUUGCUAAGCUGGACGUCGACCGGCGCACGGGUGAGUAACGCGUAUCCAACCUGCCCCACGGUGAGGGAUAACCCGCGGAAACGCGGCCUAAUACCUCAUGGCCUCCGAGCUUGACAUCAACCUUGGAGUAAAGAUUCAUUGCCGUGGGAUGGGGAUGCGUCUGAUUAGGUUGUUGGCGGGGUAACGGCCCACCAAGCCCACGAUCAGUAGGGGUUCUGAGAGGAAGGUCCCCCACAUUGGAACUGAGACACGGUCCAAACUCCUACGGGAGGCAGCAGUGAGGAAUAUUGGUCAAUGGGCGAGAGCCUGAACCAGCCAAGUAGCGUGCAGGAUGACGGCCCUAUGGGUUGUAAACUGCUUUUAUGCGGGGAUAAAGCGGGCGACGUGUCGCCCCUUGCAGGUACCGCAUGAAUAAGGACCGGCUAAUUCCGUG